CCGUACUAGAUGGGGAGGUAGCGGUGCCCUGUAACCUGCAAUCCGCUAUAGCAGGGUCGAAUUCCCGAGCCGAGGCAUGAUUACUGUAAGGCUGGCAUAAGUAAGUGAUUAUGAUAUUCAAGUCCUCCGCAAUGGAAAUUUGUGAACCCCGCCAGGUCUGGAAGGAAGCAACGGUAAGCAAAUACUUUCAUGUGCCGGGGGAGCGCUUGAGUGGAGUUAACUGCUUAUGUAACGCUUAUGGUAACAUGACAGAGUCGGGUGUGCGG
Molecule: non-coding RNA, 266 nt
Organism: Thermoanaerobacterium saccharolyticum JW/SL-YS485
Lineage: Bacteria; Bacillati; Bacillota; Clostridia; Thermoanaerobacterales; Thermoanaerobacteraceae
Source: Rfam